Long non-coding RNA from Stegodyphus dumicola, 818 nucleotides. Lineage: Eukaryota; Metazoa; Arthropoda; Arachnida; Araneae; Eresidae. The record is from RefSeq and is a predicted model, not a curated record.
AAUAGUUUGAUGCAUCACCAUGGUCAUCAAAAUUAGCAAACCACUGCUGGUAUAUUCAAAAUGAGGGCUUAAAUUUACCUCCUCCUUCAGUUUCAAGCAACAUCCAAACUCAACAGUCAUUUUUUUCGACAAUGAAAAAGUUUAGUUUUCUUUGGGAAACCCUCAGUUGAAGAAAAAGGAACACUUUGCUGAAAGAAAUGGUAAUAAAAACAGAAAGCGACCAUGACGCUUAUUGUAAGGGCUUGGUACCUGCAGAGCAAACUGUACCUUCUGUAACAAAACAAAGAAAAAUUCCAGUUUCAAAAGUUUUUAUUGUUAGCAACCAUCAACAGAAAUUAUUAAAUAUGCUAAUAAAUAGAAAAGUUGUGAAGUCUCUAUUUGAGGAUAGAUGCUAGAAAUAGAACAUACUUUAGCUUCAGAAGCUAUUGAUGAUUCUAUUAUUGAUUGCUCAAUACCAUAUAUUAGAAAUUUAUUCAGUGAAUAUGCGUGGAACAAAAUUCAACUAAUUAUAAAAGAAAUUUGGAAAUGAUUUUCAUGUGAAUUAUGAACUGCACAGACUAAUAUGAUACAGUGCGAUAAAUGCGAGAAAUGGUUUCACUGGAGCUGUGCGAACAUAACUUUCAAUUUUGAAGAGACUCAAGAAUGGUUUUGCGCAGCCUGUUAUUUGAUAAGUAUGCAUGUUGAAUAGACAGCAUUAUUUAAAUUGUAUACUAAUAUUUUAUGUAUAUUAAAAUCUUUAUCCUAAAGUGGGCUAUAAUGAACCUCUGGCUGAGGCGAUUCCCCCAUUUUAAUGGAUAAUAAAGAAAGAAAGAAUGAAA